This 310-nucleotide ribosomal RNA is filed under the name uncultured bacterium. Its description in RNAcentral is "partial 16S ribosomal RNA". It matches the Rfam family "Bacterial small subunit ribosomal RNA", at positions 503 to 807 of the family's 1533-position model. The record is from RNAcentral.
AAGAGACAGCAGCAGCCGCGGUAAUACGUAGGUGGCAAGCGUUGUCCGGAAUUAUUGGGCGUAAAGGGCUCGCAGGCGGUUUCUUAAGUCUGAUGUGAAAGCCCCCGGCUCAACCGGGGAGGGUCAUUGGAAACUGGGAAACUUGAGUGCAGAAGAGGAGAGUGGAAUUCCAUGUGUAGCGGUGAAAUGCGUAGAGAUGUGGAGGAACACCAGUGGCGAAGGCGACUCUCUGGUCAGUAACUGACGCUGAGGAGCGAAAGCGUGGGGAGCGAACAGGAUUAGAUACCCCAGUAGUCCCUGUCUCUUAUAC